GACGAACGCUGGCGGCGUGCUUAACACAUGCAAGUCGAACGGAAAGGCCCUGCUUUUUUGGUGUUCUCGAGUGGCGAACGGGUGAGUAACACGUGUGUAACCUGCUCUUGACUUUGGUAUAACUUCACGUAACUGGGCUUACUAUCGUAUAGCAUCUCCUCUUCCAUGGUGGGGGUUGGAACUUUUCGGCUGUUGGGGAUGGACUCGCGGCUUAUCAGUUUGUUGGUGGGGUAGUGGAUUGCCAAGGCUUUGACCGGUAGCCGACAUGGGAGGGUGACCGGCGACCAUGGGACUGAGGUACGGCCCAGAGUGCUACGGGAGGCAAAGGUGGGAAAUAUUGCACAAUGGGAGGAAGUGUGAUGAAGAAGCGCCGCGGGUGGGAAGACGUCCUUCGGGUAGAAAAAAGCAUCAGCCUAAGACGAAGCGUGAGUGACGGUAAUGAGUAAAGAAGCACCGGCUAACUACGUG
This 468-nucleotide ribosomal RNA is filed under the name uncultured bacterium. Its description in RNAcentral is "partial 16S ribosomal RNA". It matches the Rfam family "Bacterial small subunit ribosomal RNA", at positions 28 to 507 of the family's 1533-position model. The record is from RNAcentral.